GUCCCCACUUUCCGGCCGAGGGAAAAAUUAUGAGAUCCCUGCGGCUAUACUCUAUUUCCCGAGUGACUAGGAGCCUUCCGCGCAGCUUGAAAGGUGAUGGAGGCCGCAGCGAACGUCUCGGACCUCCCACCAUGCGUUAAUCGCCGCCUCACCGACUACGGUUCAUUAUACACGAUAGGACAAUAAGGACACGCUUGUAUUGGGAAGUGGCACGAUCAGUCGCAGUACACUGAAAUCUAAGGACAAGCAGAAGGUGGAUAGGACCGUUUCCACGGAGUCGUUGGCCAGCAAGUCGCGGGGCGUGAAUUCUAAGCCAGAGCUGAGCAGGUCGACGUCAGUUCCACGAGAUCCGAACAAGAGCGCGGGAUGGUUCAAGCUGAAGAGCAAGAAGUCCCGGGCUUGAAGGGAAGGCCAUUAAUUAAUGCUAGUCUUGAGUUUCAUAAGUAAUAUUGUAAUCGUUAAACGAGUAAUAAAAACGCGCGCCUGCUGUCCGCUGCUGUCCCCGCAACGGGCUUUAGCUGUAACCGAGUUAUUACUUUCAUCAUUUUAUCUUCUGUUUCUUCUCUAAUGUACAAUGAAAUAAAUCUCGGGCGACGAUUAACGAUUAA
This is a long non-coding RNA of Ceratina calcarata, 608 nucleotides long. RefSeq lists it as uncharacterized. The transcript is spliced from 2 exons. Lineage: Eukaryota; Metazoa; Arthropoda; Insecta; Hymenoptera; Apidae. The record is from RefSeq and is a predicted model, not a curated record.